GUCGAGCUACGGCUAUAAAUGUCAAUGUCUUAAAUUCACUGUGCCUCCUUUUAAAAAAUAUUAGCCUUAUCACGGAAAAAGCUCACCAAUGGUAUAGUUUCUGAAAUGUGGCUAUUCUUUUUUGACCAGUUUCAGUUUAUAUAUUUGAACCUCCUCUGAUGCUGUUUAAUCCCUCUAAAUGGCCCUGCACCAGCUCUGUGGGAGAUAGACACGUGGGAUGUGGCCCUGGCUGAGAAAAGGAAGCGUGCGUGGUGCUCCUUCGGUGUUAGGACAACCCAGCAGUUAUCUUUGACUGUCGUGAACACUCAUGAUGAAUGACUGGCUUUGCUGUUUAACAUUAGUUUUUGAGUCAUUUUUGUGACCCUAUAGUUUUGUUUGGGUUUUUAAAAAAAAAAAAAAAAAAAAGAACAAAAAAUAUUUGAUCUGUUUUUCUUCAGUUCUUGAUCUUUUUUUAAUCCGAGAAAACCAGGCUUUUCUGAAUCUAUUAAAUAUUGGGAAAAACCUGA
Sus scrofa (pig) is the source of this 506-nucleotide non-coding RNA. The record is from RefSeq and is a predicted model, not a curated record. NCBI's taxonomy places the organism in Eukaryota, Metazoa, Chordata, Mammalia, Artiodactyla, Suidae.